Molecule: long non-coding RNA, 2212 nt
Organism: Strigops habroptila (Kakapo)
Lineage: Eukaryota; Metazoa; Chordata; Aves; Psittaciformes; Psittacidae
Source: Ensembl
UUUUUUCAUUUUUCUUUUUCUUUUUCUUUUUUUUUUACUUUCCCCGAAAUUCCAUUAUUUCAACGUCUCUCCCCCCGCUGGACGCCGAUCCUCCCCUCCCCCCCCCCCCCGCCUUGCAUUGUCUUUGCAGACACCAACACUGCACCUUGCAUCAGGAAGAGUCUCCCACAGAUGUUCCCCUUGGUGGGACCCCCAAAAAACCACACCGGGGGGGGGACCCUCGCCCAUUUCCCCCUUAGUCCCCCACUAAUACUUUUGGACACACACAAAAAAAACCAAACAAACCCAAAACAAACCAAACUAUUAAAAAUGUAAAAAAAAAAAGCCCCAAAAUGUUGACAUUUCUUCAUCACGAAGCAGCGCCGCCGCGCGGUGCCGCCCGCCCAUCGCUGUCACGACCCGCAUCAGGCCUCAGCCUCAGCAGGGCUGGGAGGGAAGGGGGUGUCUCUCCGGCCGGUGGGACGGGGGGUUUUAAGGCAAAAUCUGGAUUUUUGGGGGGUGUUAAGCCCCCCGCUCGGUGGUUUGCACAGGCGAGAGGAGACCUCUUGACCUGUUCCCUCCUGACCCCCCAAGAUGAGGCCAAUGGGGAUAGAUGGGGGGGCUGUGACCUGUGACCCCCCCGACACCAGCCCUUUUGGGGGGGGAGGGGCACAGCUACAUUCACACGGUUCUAUUCCUGUCACAAGAGCUGCCGGGCUCAGCCCUCCUGCCCUUGCACCCCAUUGAAAACCAGUUCAAAAGGGGGGGAGGUCAGGAUGCUGGGCCCCCUCCCACGAGGACUCAGCCAUGAGGGACCCCAACCGCAUCCUCAUCCAUCCUGCCAUGCCCAGACCCAGAGCACUGGCGGGGUUCAGGCCCGGGGAGGGGGGGGAAGCACUGCCUCCCACCUCGCUGCCUUUGGUUGCUGGAAGCCAAAAACCAAAAGAAACCCCCCCAAAAGGGAAGGACCCCCCCCAAAAAGAGGCAAAGCGGGGGGGGUGGGGGGGCGGCUAUUGCAUAUUCCGGUGUGUUGGCGCAGAGGGUGCAUCAACUGGAAGACAUUUCCGAAGGGGGGGGAAAUGGGUUAAAAAAAACAAUUAAUAAUAAUAAUAUAAUAAUAAUAAUAAAAGAGAGAGAAAAAGGGGAUUUUUCCGGCCGAGAAGAAGCCAUGCAGGAGGCGGGGGGGGGGCCCCGGGCAUGCAGCGGCUCCCGCGCCCCGGCACCGGGCCCGGUAAUACUGAGGCUCCGAAGGCAAAGGCACAUCUUGUGGUAGAAAACUUCGUGCAAAUUAGGAAAACAUGGAUUUCUUUUUUUGUUUUGUUUUUCUUUUUUGUUUUUUGUUUUUUUUUUUUCCUUGCGUUUUUUUCGGUUUUUCGCCCCUUUUUUUUUUUUUUUCUUUUCUUUUAUACAGAUUUUUUUUGUUGUUUUUUUUUUUUUGGUGGUUUUUUUUCCUCUUUUUUCUCUGUUGCUGAGGGGAAGGUCGAGCCGGUUACACUCUGCCAUGCACAGCAUCGCCAGCGCGGCGGGGCCGAGCCGGGUCGCCAGGUCCUGGUAAAGCACCAUGCACUUAUAGAUAGGGGGGUUUGUCCUUUUUUUUUUUUUUUUUUUUCCCUCUUUUUCUCUUUUUUUUUUUCUUUUCUUGAGGGGUUUUUGUUUUGUUUUUUUUUAAUGCUUUUCUCAGAUCUUUAAAAAAAUAACCCCAAACCAAAGAGGGCUCCGUCACCGCCAAGCGCUUCUUUUGCCGUUUUCUCUUGUUCUCUUGCGGGUUUUCUCAUUUUUCUUCUCAUCUUGGAUGUUUUCUCCUCUCCCGGGAUUUCCUCCAUCCAACCCUUCUCCUUUCCGCGGGAGCCGGGGGAGGGUUUGGCGGUGCUCCUCGCUGCCAUCCCGCACAUCCCACAGCCGCUUCUCUCCGUCAUUCCCCGUGGGCUGCCCCCUGCGGCGCGGGGGGGGACACCAGUCUGCUCCGGGGGGACACCGGGGGUCUUCCUCAUCUUCCUCCUCCCCCGCGCGGGAUGGGGGCUUCCUCCAGCGCUUCCCUCCCAGUGGGGGGGAUCCUCAGGAGGGGUCUCCGGGUCCGUGUCCCGUCCCCCGCAGCGGUUCAGGCACUUGGCGGGGGGGGGCGGAGGGGGUUUUGGGGGUGCAGGGGAGGUUUGGGGGGUGCGGAGGUGCUUUGGGGGGUGCAGGGGGGGCUCUGCCCUUGGCGUUAAAAAAAGAAAAAAUCCCAAAAAACCCC